UAUAAUAUUCUAUGUAAGAUUAUAAAAUUAGAAUGACACAGAGAAGAUUAGCACGGCCCUUGGGCAAGGAUGACGCGCACAAUUUGAGAAAUGGUCCAUAUUUCU
Non-coding RNA from Nicotiana attenuata, 105 nucleotides. The record is from Rfam. Lineage: Eukaryota; Viridiplantae; Streptophyta; Magnoliopsida; Solanales; Solanaceae.